Transfer RNA from Winogradskyella sp. PG-2, 74 nucleotides. It matches the Rfam family "tRNA". From Rfam's summary of the family: Transfer RNA (tRNA) molecules are approximately 80 nucleotides in length. Their secondary structure includes four short double-helical elements and three loops (D, anti-codon, and T loops). The record is from Rfam. NCBI's taxonomy places the organism in Bacteria, Pseudomonadati, Bacteroidota, Flavobacteriia, Flavobacteriales, Flavobacteriaceae.
GCUUCGCUGGCCAAACUGGAAAAGGCAUCAGCUUUAAGCGCUGUGAUUUCUUGGUUCGAAUCCAAGGCGAAGUA